AACGCGAAGAACCUUACCUGGGCUUGACAUAUACAGGAUCGGGCUAGAGAUAGUCUUUCCCUUGUGGUCUGUAUACAGGUGGUGCAUGGUUGUCGUCAGCUCGUGUCGUGAGAUGUUGGGUUAAGUCCCGCAACGAGCGCAACCCUUGUCUUAUGUUGCCAGCACGUUAUGGUGGGAACUCAUGAGAGACUGCCGGGGUUAACUCGGAGGAAGGUGGGGAUGACGUCAAAUCAUCAUGCCCCUUAUGUCCAGGGCUUCACACAUGCUACAAUGGUCGAUACAGUGGGCAGCGACAUCGUAAGGUGGAGCGAAUCCCUGAAAGUCGGCCUUAGUUCGGAUUGGGGUCUGCAACUCGAGAGCGUGAAGCCGGAAUCGCUAGUAAUCGCGGAUCAGCACGCCGCGGUGAAUACGUUCCCGGGUCUUGUACACACCG
Molecule: ribosomal RNA, 433 nt
Filed under: uncultured bacterium
Lineage: Bacteria
Description: bacterial SSU rRNA
Rfam family: Bacterial small subunit ribosomal RNA
Source: RNAcentral